Molecule: transfer RNA, 39 nt
Filed under: Jurinea humilis
Lineage: Eukaryota; Viridiplantae; Streptophyta; Magnoliopsida; Asterales; Asteraceae
Description: trnL
Source: RNAcentral
AAUCUGUCGAUUUAAAAAAUCGUGAGGGUUCAAGUCCCU